This 253-nucleotide ribosomal RNA is filed under the name uncultured bacterium. RNAcentral's name for it is "partial 16S ribosomal RNA". It matches the Rfam family "Bacterial small subunit ribosomal RNA", at positions 524 to 776 of the family's 1533-position model. The record is from RNAcentral.
GACGAACCGUACGAACGUUAUUCGGAAUUACUGGGCUUAAAGGGUGCGUAGGCGGCGCAGUAAGUUGGGUGUGAAAUCCCUCGGCUUAACCGAGGAAUUGCGCCCAAAACUACUGUGCUCGAGGGAGAUAGAGGUGAGCGGAACUUAGGGUGGAGCGGUGAAAUGCGUUGAUAUCGGGAGGAAUACCUAUGGCGAAAGCAGGCUACUGGACCGUCACUGACUCUGAUCUGCGAAAGCUAGGGGAGCAAACAGG